AACGAACGCUGGCGGCAUGCUUAACACAUGCAAGUCGAACGCCCCGCCUGGGGCUUGGCAGACGGGUUAGUAACGCGUGGGAACAUACCCUUUUCUACGGCAUAGCUCUGGGAAACUGGAAUUAAUACCGUAUACGCCCUACUGGUGAAAGAUUUAUCGGUGAAGGAUUGGGCCUCGUUGGAUUAGCUUGUUGGUGGGGUAAAGGCAUACCAAGGCGACGAUCCAUAGCUGGGCUGAGAGGAUGAUCAGCCACAUUGUGACUGAGACACGGCCCAAACUCCGACGGGAGGGAGGGGUGGGGAAUAUAGGGGAAGGGGGGCAAGCCUGAUGAAGCCAUGCCGGGGGAGAGAGGAAGGGGGUAGGGUUGUAAAGCUAUUACAGCGAUGAAGAAAAUGACGGUAGUCGGAGAAGAAGCCCCGGCUAACUUCGUG
Molecule: ribosomal RNA, 431 nt
Filed under: uncultured bacterium
Lineage: Bacteria
Description: partial 16S ribosomal RNA
Rfam family: Bacterial small subunit ribosomal RNA
Source: RNAcentral